GUGAAUCAUCAAAUCUUUGAACGCAAAUUGCACUUUCUGGUAUUCCGGAAAGUAUGCCUGUUUGAGGGUCGGUUAAAUAAAAAUCGGUGUUAUUGCUAUUAAUGUUAAUGCAUCGCGAGUGAGUCGUCUGUACCUUUGGUUUUAAGUAACUUAAAAUUAUGUACGAUUUCUGAACGUAUUUAAUUUAUUUACUUACUCUCAUGAUAUCACAUAGUAGAUGCGGUCAUGCACAUGAUUUCGCG
RNAcentral lists this unclassified non-coding RNA (242 nucleotides) under Glomeraceae sp. RNAcentral's name for it is "partial contains 5.8S ribosomal RNA and internal transcribed spacer 2". The stretch from base 1 to 71 matches the Rfam family "5.8S ribosomal RNA", at positions 84 to 154 of the family's 154-position model. Lineage: Eukaryota; Fungi; Glomeromycota; Glomeromycetes; Glomerales; Glomeraceae. The record is from RNAcentral.